CAAAACAGUAAACACUUAACACUAAGUAUAGAAGGUAGAAUCACAACGAACUGAGAUAGCAAUCCUAUGCCUCAACUAACUUCUCCAGCAAGACCUUCCAAUUAAACUCCUACUAGUGUUGUUAUCUCAGAUUCCCAAAACUUCUUGAGUCUUUGGACAAAGACCAACCACAGUAGGUUUUGUUAGUGCAAGGUAAAUCAAGGGAAAAAUUAGGAGACCCUACUGUAAAGAUUAAUUACAGAAUGCAGGAAAGAUCUCACCAAUGAGUUUACUACAGGUUUCAGGAAUCAGGUUUAAUCAAGAAAUCACAAAGCUCCAGUAGUCCAAGUUGCUCUGAUGUGGUUGAAAAGUCAAGAGAUACUAAUAUUAACCAAGAUUCCAAAACCACGAUCAUAAACUGAAAAUAGAGUGCAAAAAAUAAAAAUGAACACGGAGAAUUUUUCGACCAAAGCCCCAAAGGUUCGACGACCACUUCUAAUGCCUAAUCACAUGUUGAUCAUCCAUUAAAAUGGAUAAAACUCGGUUACACUGUAAAGCCCCAAAAUAGGCAGCAAAUAUACAAUAAUAUUCUAGAAAAUACAACAAAUAGUCACCAAGACUUAUCUUUAAAAUUAGGCACAAAUCAAGCCUCACUCCACUAAGGAUUCAAAACGCGAAUCACACAGAUCACCAAAACCAAACUACCAUCUUUGAACCACAGAAAAUGGGUGCUCUUUCACAAAAUAUUACUUUCCAACAAAGAACUAUACAAAUCAGCCUCUAUAUUAUACAAUAAUAGGCUAAAAAACACUGAGUUUUCGCAAUAAAAACCGCCCAACAAAGAGUCACAUAGAUUCGACUCAACCAAGACCAAAUUAGCACAAUACCCAUAUAGAUCUUGAAUAUUUCAUGCUGUUUUCUAAGAUUAUUUUCAGAAAAUUAACCCCUAAAAUCACAAAGAAAGAAGAGGUAGUCUUGCACAGGAAGAGAGAGAAAUAAAGAGCUCUUUUUCUUGAGAGUGAGAUGUCUGAAGGAGAGAGAGUGAGUGUGAC
This 1031-nucleotide long non-coding RNA is filed under the name Olea europaea subsp. europaea. The record is from RNAcentral. Lineage: Eukaryota; Viridiplantae; Streptophyta; Magnoliopsida; Lamiales; Oleaceae.